GGUUGGUUAAAAACUUCAUCCCUAAUUUUAGUUGUGACAAUCAUUACCGAGUCCUUUUUUUUCAGGAUCCAAAUAACAAGAACGUGGUCAAUUGUGAUAAGAAGUUGAGGAAUAUUUUGUUGGGUAAACCUCAAGUUGAACUUGCUGAACUUCCUACACUAAUCAAGCUGCAUUUUCCAAAAGAGGCAAAAUGAUUUUAACUAUUUGAAUUGAGGAUGUCGCGGUGGCAAAUUCCAACCCAAGCCCAAUGUUCAAAUUGAGAGAGAAACCUGCUGCUGACACUCUCAUCCAGAUGCAGUUGAGUCCAUUCCAUGUCCACAACAAGCUCAGUCAAUUCGUUCUGAAAUUGAAUACAUGAACAGGGUUCAAACCUUGCAUUCCCAUCUAACAAUAUUGUUGAUUUCCCAUCCUUGAGGAAAUAUCCAAUAUUUUUUUGGAUGAUUUAGAACAUUUUGGACGGUUUAGAACUUAUAGAUAGUUUUUUAUGUUUAGAAACAUAGUUUUUAGAUGGUUUGGAAUGUAUAGAUAGUUUUUGGAUAUUUAGAACUUAUUGAUAGUUUUUUAUGGAUGUUUGAAACAA
This is a non-coding RNA of Camellia sinensis, 580 nucleotides long. Lineage: Eukaryota; Viridiplantae; Streptophyta; Magnoliopsida; Ericales; Theaceae. The record is from RefSeq and is a predicted model, not a curated record.